RNAcentral lists this non-coding RNA (24 nucleotides) under Arabidopsis thaliana (thale cress). Lineage: Eukaryota; Viridiplantae; Streptophyta; Magnoliopsida; Brassicales; Brassicaceae. The record is from RNAcentral.
AUGCAAACUGGUCACUAUCUUGGA